Long non-coding RNA from Esox lucius (northern pike), 2424 nucleotides. Lineage: Eukaryota; Metazoa; Chordata; Actinopteri; Esociformes; Esocidae. The record is from Ensembl.
UAACUGCUAAACGCAGCUUGACCAUGUUUAGUUUGGACUCUGGGCUCCAUUAGCUGACCUGUGUUCAUGGAUCUAACCUACAAUUUCAAAUGCCUGGCAAAGUUCAGAUGUUGCAAUUUGUGGGUGGGUUCAUUGAAGACUCUUGCAACCCAUCCAAAGAGCAUGUUAACAUAGAGGUGACAUCUAACAGUUGAUUUUCAUACUUAAUGACCCCAAGGUUCCACUAGUCUGUACCAUUCGCAAACUGUGUUCCUUGGAUUAUUCUUUGCCUUCCUCACCAUCUUCCACGGCAUGUGUUGGGGCAAAAUGUCAAUAACCAUCUGUCUCCCUUUUGGUUUUACACAUGGUGAUGGAUGACUAAGGGAUUUUACAUGCGUGCAACCAUGUAUACCCCAUGGAAAUGGGAGCAGGUGAAAGGCAUUAAUACUGUUCCUGGAGACGGAGACUAAUUAAAAGGCAUAGAACAUAACAGAUUUUCUUUUAGAUUCAACUUUAUUUUAUUUACUAUUAUCAUUGAAUUUAUUGUCAAGUACAAGUACAUUACAAUGACAUGUAGAUGCUACUUUGUUUGGUUUUAUUUUAAAUAUUCUUUAGGGAUGCCAAUGUUGUGCUGAAAAAAUCAUAUAAAAUGAUUGGUGUUUCAGAAGGUAUUGUGUUGAAAUGAUAGUAUACGGCUCUCCCUUAUGUUUGAGCCCAGAAUAUGUCUCUCUGUUGUUUAUUUUUUGCAUUUGAUUUUGUUCAAUUUCAUGAAAGGUGCCAAUACUUCUUGCGUUGACUGUAGUUCACAGAAAAAUUCUGUGAGGAGGAAUGGUUUAACAUCCCUUCAAAAGUUUUCUCCAUAAAACAAUAGAAUAAGGCUGAGUCUGCACAGUUAUCCUUGCAAUGAGCAUUUACAAUAUAGCUGAAUAACUGUGUUGUUUAAUUUAUGUGACUUUUAAUUUAUGUGAGUGAAAAUAAUUGUGGAGCUGACUGUAUAUAAUUAUUUACACAGUCUGUCUGUUUCUAUGAGUAAGUGUGUGGAUGACUUGUUAGUCACUACGUAAACAAUGAGUUACCUAUUAUGUAGCAUUCUUGUGUCAUAAAUCCAAAAUGUUUGGGAUCAGUGAUAUUAUUUCUUUAUGCAUAUCUUUGUAGAGACUGGAUUCAAAUCAAACAAAGUUGCAGGUUUCUCUAAUAAAACAGUUUCUUCUUCGGAGAGCUUCAUAUCAUAUCUAACCUUUCAAAAAAUUGGUAUAAGUACUCUUUAUGUGAAUUCUGCUCCACAGAAAACAUUUCUAUAUUUUUAAGCAUGUUCUUGUAUAAUGGGAAUGCUGAGGGCUUUUUGAAUUCUGGGAAAAAGUUGACGAAUGACACUAUGUGACGCUCCUUUGUUAAAAUGUUGAUUUAGUACUCAUACAGAACACCAACAGAGAACAACAGCCUGCCAGGAACUACAGUCUCUAAGAUUUUGGUUUAAAUGUUUAAGAAUUUAUCAAUUCCGCAAUGGCUCCUCACAUUCAAAGAACAGUUCUUAUGGAAUUAUCCACAGCAAAGACAAACAGGGCCAAGCCAAUCCACUCUUCACACAUGGAAGAAACUCAUCACCAAUGGACCUCUAUAUAUGAAUGUGUAUCAAUAGUUUGUAACUAUUUCUAAAGCUAUGCCAUGUAUAAUUCUGUAGAUUUAUUAUGUAAAAUGUAUUUAUUUGUUUUUAUCUGAGGCUUGAUUUUUCAUACUUUUUUUUCAGAUUGCCUGGGGGAUGGGUGAAGGCAGCAUUUAUUUUAGAUUUUUUACAUUAUAUAAAAAUACGCAGAAGCAAUCCUAAAUCUAAAAAAUUACUUGGUGUGCUCUACCAAGAAAAGGUUACAUAUGAAAUGUGUCUACCUUGCCCAAGUGAAACUACAACUGCAACUGUAUAUUUAGCCAGUAGGUGACAGUAGUAAGUUAGUUUUGCACUAAACAUGGCUACACAACGGAUAGACAUGUCAUUACCAUAAGUGGUGCAAUUCUUACCAUUAGGAGUAGCCUGAGAUAAUCACAAACUUUAUUAAGAGUAAUUUACGAUGCUGGGAGUAUUUUAUGGCAGGCAGAGGUAAGGAACUUAAUUUAAAAGUUAAUUGUAGUUUGCUUAUUCUGUACUGAGGUGCCAUCUAGAGGUUCAAUUGUGUGCCAUCACAUUUACAGAGGCCUCACUGAAGUGCUAAUAAUAAUAUGUGUAUUGGACAAAGAUAAUACUAAUUAAAAGCAUCUAUAAUAAAUGUCGGAGGGUAGAUCACCUAUUGCCAGACCAGAAAAACAUUAUUAGAUCAUUUCACAAAAUGUUAAUCUACAGUUGCACAGCGAUAUAAUUUAUAAACUACGGGAAUAUUACUCUCUUGUUUUCAUUUCAAAGAUGACUUCAAUUAGGCUGCUUAAAGAUUCAAUCAUCUUUGAAAAACGUUGUCC